RNAcentral lists this non-coding RNA (84 nucleotides) under Tsukamurella paurometabola. RNAcentral describes it as "ZTP sequence". It matches the Rfam family "ZMP/ZTP riboswitch aptamer (pfl RNA motif)". From Rfam's summary of the family: Previously known as pfl RNA. ZMP is also known as AICAR. The record is from RNAcentral. Lineage: Bacteria; Bacillati; Actinomycetota; Actinomycetes; Mycobacteriales; Tsukamurellaceae. RNAcentral also lists the same sequence under 1 other name.
ACCACGGAUCGUGACUGGCGCAAGUAGGUGGAGCACCACCGGGAAGCGAUCAUGACGACGAUGCCGUGCGCCUGGGCCACCGAC